UCAACCCUCCCUCUUUUCCCUCAUUUCACGUUUCUGUGUUGAUUACUAAUCACCUUAGAUGUUGUUACUAGUGGAUGUAUGGUAGAUGGAUUGAAGCUUUUCUGAUAAUUAUUACACUUUUUUUACACUUUAAGCAUGUGGUGUUGAAGUAUUACUGUAGAUCAAGUUUGUCUUCCACACUAAGAUGUGAGGAAAUUGUGAUUUGUUCUCUCCACCACAACAGAAUUACACAAUUAUCUUCUCUCAUUUUGAAACACUGCAGUUUACCAUGGGACACUGUAUAUAUUUCUUGCCAUAAUGGUAAAUGACUGAUUG
RNAcentral lists this long non-coding RNA (315 nucleotides) under Bos taurus (domestic cattle). RNAcentral's name for it is "long non-coding RNA NONBTAT021822". Lineage: Eukaryota; Metazoa; Chordata; Mammalia; Artiodactyla; Bovidae. The record is from RNAcentral.